GACCUCUCCGGUGGCCUAGAUAUAGAGCGUCCGCCUCGGAUGCGGAAGGUCGCGGAUUCGAUCCCUGUCCGAGUCA
Non-coding RNA from Potamilus streckersoni, 76 nucleotides. The record is from the annotation of a GenBank genome assembly. Lineage: Eukaryota; Metazoa; Mollusca; Bivalvia; Unionida; Unionidae.